This 497-nucleotide ribosomal RNA is filed under the name uncultured bacterium. Its description in RNAcentral is "partial 16S ribosomal RNA". It matches the Rfam family "Bacterial small subunit ribosomal RNA", at positions 28 to 507 of the family's 1533-position model. The record is from RNAcentral.
GAUGAACGCUGGCGGCGUGCCUAAUACAUGCAAGUCGAGCGAACAGAUAAGGAGCUUGCUCCUUUGACGUUAGCGGCGGACGGGUGAGUAACACGUGGAUAACCUACCUAUAAGACUGGGAUAACUUCGGGAAACCGGAGCUAAUACCGGAUAACAUAUUGAACCGCAUGGUUCAAUAGUGAAAGGCGGCUUUGCUGUCACUUAUAGAUGGAUCCGCGCCGUAUUAGCUAGUUGGUAAGGUAACGGCUUACCAAGGCAACGAUACGUAGCCGACCUGAGAGGGUGAUCGGCCACACUGGAACUGAGACACGGUCCAGACUCCUACGGGAGGCAGCAGUAGGGAAUCUUCCGCAAUGGGCGAAAGCCUGACGGAGCAACGCCGCGUGAGUGAUGAAGGUCUUCGGAUCGUAAAACUCUGUUAUCAGGGAAGAACAAAUGUGUAAGUAACUGUGCACAUCUUGACGGUACCUGAUCAGAAAGCCACGGCUAAAUACGUG